UACGUAGGGUGCGAGCGUUAAUCGGAAUUACUGGGCGUAAAGGGUGCGUAGGCGGAUAAUUAAGUUAGAAGUGAAAGCCCUGGGCUUAACCUAGGAAGAGCUUUUAAUACUGAUAAUCUAGAGUAUAUCAGAGGGGGGUAGAAUUCCAAGUGUAGCAGUGAAAUGCGUAGAGAUUUGGAGGAAUACCGAUGGCGAAGGCAGCCCCCUGGGAAGAUACUGACGCUGAGGCACGAAAGCGUGGGUAGCAAACAGG
RNAcentral lists this ribosomal RNA (253 nucleotides) under uncultured bacterium. RNAcentral's name for it is "partial 16S ribosomal RNA". It matches the Rfam family "Bacterial small subunit ribosomal RNA", at positions 524 to 776 of the family's 1533-position model. The record is from RNAcentral.